This 271-nucleotide ribosomal RNA is filed under the name uncultured bacterium. RNAcentral's name for it is "partial 16S ribosomal RNA". It matches the Rfam family "Bacterial small subunit ribosomal RNA", at positions 85 to 354 of the family's 1533-position model. The record is from RNAcentral.
CUGAUGGCGACCGGCGCACGGGUGAGUAACGCGUAUCCAACCCGCCCUUUACUAUGGGACAGCCCGUCGAAAGGCGGAUUAAUACCGUAUGUUGUCAUGUUGAUGCAUAUUUUCAUGACCAAAGGCUUCGGCCGGUAAAGGAUGGGGAUGCGUCUGAUUAGCUUGCCGGCGGGGUAACGGCCCACCGGGGCGACGAUCAGUAGGGGUUCUGAGAGGAAGGUCCCCCACAUUGGAACUGAGACACGGUCCAAACUCCUACGGGAGGCAGCAG